GACGAACGCUGGCGGCGUGCUUAACACAUGCAAGUCGAACGGAAAGGCCCUGCUUUUGUGGGGUGCUCGAGUGGCGAACGGGUGAGUAACACGUGAGUAACCUGCCCUUGACUUUGGGAUAACUUCAGGAAACUGGGGCUAAUACCGGAUAGGAGCUCCUGCUGCAUGGUGGGGGUUGGAAAGUUUCGGCGGUUGGGGAUGGACUCGCGGCUUAUCAGCUUGUUGGUGGGGUAGUGGCUUACCAAGGCUUUGACGGGUAGCCGGCCUGAGAGGGUGACCGGCCACAUUGGGACUGAGAUACGGCCCAGACUCCUACGGGAGGCAGCAGUGGGGAAUAUUGCACAAUGGGCGGAAGCCUGAUGCAGCAACGCCGCGUGCGGGAUGACGGCCUUCGGGUCGUAAACCGCUUUCGCCUGUGACGAAGCGUGAGUGACGGUAAUGGGUAAAGAAGCACCGGCUAACUACGUG
Molecule: ribosomal RNA, 468 nt
Filed under: uncultured bacterium
Lineage: Bacteria
Description: partial 16S ribosomal RNA
Rfam family: Bacterial small subunit ribosomal RNA
Source: RNAcentral